AUGGAAACAGUUUUUUUGUUUUUUUCUUGUCUAUCUUUGAAGGCAAAUGAGGAGCUGGGAGCGUGGCUCAUUAAGGUGGAUAAGUCCGGCCUGCCUGGAAGAUUUAAAGCCUGGAUCUACCAGCAUUCCAUCCUGCCCCGAAUCCUGUGGCCCUUCCUUGUCUAUACAGUUCCAAUAACUACUGUGGAAUCCCUUGAAAGAAAGAUCAGUGGCUUUCUUCGUAAGUGGCUGGGACUUCCCCGCAGUCUCACCAGCGCUGCCUUGUAUGGGGCAAGUAACAGCGUGCAGUUACCCUUCAGUGGUCUCACAGAAGAGUUCAAGGUGGCUCGCACGCGAGAAGCCCUACAGUACAGAGAUUCUAAAGACUGCAAGGUGGCAUCAGCAGGUAUUGAGGUAAGGACAGGAAGAAAGUGGAAGGCUGAGAAGGCAGUUGAGGUGGCGGAGUCACGCCUAAGGCAGAAAACACUGAUGGGGGUCUUAGCAAUAGGGGGAGCAGGCUUGGGGUACGUCCCAAAGGCCCAGGUCAGCAGGGCACAGGGAAAGGAGAGACACCAGCUACUCCAGGAAGAGGUCCGAGCAGGUGUGGAGGAGGAGCGAGUAAGUAGAGCUGUAGGCCUUAAGCGGCAGGGAGCAUGGACAAGGUGGGAGAGCACCUUGCAGCGCAAGGUCACCUGGGCAAACAUCAUGCAGGCAGACUUCCAUCGGAUCUGAUUCCUAGUGCAGGCAGUAUACGACACUCUGCCAAGCCCAGCAAACCUCCAUCUGUGGGGAAAGAGCGAGACACCUGCCUGUCCCCUGUGCUCUGGAAGAGGGACCCUAGAACACCUCCUUAGCAGCUGCCCAAGGGCCCUGGCUGAUGGUCGGUAUCGUUGGCGGCACGACCAGGUGCUCAGAGUAGUUGCUGAAAAGAUUGCCUCAGCAAUCAGCACCAGCAAGCAUCAUCAGGCUCCGAGGAAGGCAAUCUCUUUUAUUAAGAAUGGAGAGAAACCCCAGGUGCGCCCACAUUUGACAACUGGCCUCCUCAACACAGCCUCUGAUUGGCAGCUACAGGCUGACCUGGGUAAACAACUAAAGUUCCCUCAGAACACUGCAAAAACAUCACUCCGGCCAGACAUGAUAAUUAUUUCUGAGGCCUCAAAACAGCUGAUCAUGCUGGAACUCACAGUGCCCUGGGAAGAGCGGAUUGAGGAGGCCAAUGAAAAGAAACGAGGAAAGUACCAGGAGCUAGUGCAGGAGUGCAGGGGAAGGGGCUGGAAGACUUUCUAUGAGCCCAUAGAAGUGGGUUGUAGGGGCUUUGCAGGACGAUCACUCUGCAAAGUCCUAGGCUGGCUGGGCGUGGCUGGGGCAGCCAAGAAGAGGGCCAUCCAGGCUGUGAGUGAAGCGGCAGAGAAAGCCACAAGGUGGCUGUGGAUCAAGAGGGCUGAUCCGUGGGUAGCUACUGGUACGCAAGUCGGGGCCUGAUCACCCCCGGCUGGGUCGCCUGGGCGAGGGUGUAUGAUGUUGUGAGACCCGAAACACCUGAUGACCCUAGGAUACAUCACUGAAGAUGCGUACCAGUGCAUCCAGGAGAUGUGUCUUUAUAGUGCUGUUGAGAGCUCACUGUUGUGCUGUUUCUUCUCUGCUCAGAAUCACUUUAUAGUUGCUAGUCUGACAUCUUAUGAUUAAUUGUUUGUAGUUACCUGUAAAUUCACUUGAAAUUGUAUUCAAAUCAACAGUGCACUCUUUCUCUGUUGUGGCAGAAAUAUUCAACCGCUUUGGAAAGAAAUCAGAAUGGCAUAUGAGAAAUGUAUUUCAAAACAGUUUCCACUAGACUCCAAAGUAAGUAGAGGAAAUAAUUAUCAUGAACAUAAUCAAGCAAUAAUUCAACAGUUUUAGGGCCUCAAGUUUUUUCAUUGCUUAAAUGACAAUAACACUGGGAACUUUAUUAAUUUUUAUUUCUUAAAGAUUUGGAUUUUAUAGGGGGCCAGUCUUAUGUAGUUGAACAAAGUAUAUCAGUUCAUAUCAGUUAUUAAGGAAAUUAGAGAGAUAUGGAAUAAGAUGUGUAGCCUAUUCCUGGUUGGAAAAUGGACAACAAUGUGUGCAAAUUAAUAAAACUGCAUCUAAAAGGGUCAAUGUGGGGUAACUCAAGGAUCUGUGACUGAUCCAAAACUCUUUGUACUUUUCAUUAAUUAUAUUUGUAAUAUUACUAAAUUGAUUAAAUAUGUUGUUUAUACAGAUGAUACAAAUGUAUUAUCUUAUGGAAAGAAAAUUAAAUGAUCUCUUGUAUGCAAUUAAAAAUGAGCUGGAAAUUCUUAAGAUGUGGUUUGAUAUCAAUAAAUUAUCCCUUAAUUAUCAAGGAACCUGAA
Haplochromis burtoni (Burton's mouthbrooder) is the source of this 2345-nucleotide RNA transcript. RefSeq lists it as uncharacterized. Lineage: Eukaryota; Metazoa; Chordata; Actinopteri; Cichliformes; Cichlidae. The record is from RefSeq and is a predicted model, not a curated record. The transcript has 2 exons.